RNAcentral lists this ribosomal RNA (471 nucleotides) under uncultured Desulfobulbus sp. Its description in RNAcentral is "bacterial SSU rRNA". It matches the Rfam family "Bacterial small subunit ribosomal RNA", at positions 913 to 1382 of the family's 1533-position model. The record is from RNAcentral. Lineage: Bacteria; Pseudomonadati; Thermodesulfobacteriota; Desulfobulbia; Desulfobulbales; Desulfobulbaceae.
ACGGGGGCCCGGCACAAGCGGUGGAGUAUGUGGUUAAUUUCGAUGCAACGCGAGAACUUACCUGGUCUUGACAUCCCGGAGACCCUUAGGAACUAGGGGUGCUUCCAUCUGGAAGAAUCUGGAGACAGGUGCUGCAUGGCUGUCGUCAGCUCGUGUCGUGAGAUGUUGGGUUAAGUCCCGCAACGAGCGCAACCCUUGCCUUUAGUUGCCAGCAGUUCGGCUGGGCACUCUAAAGGGACUGCCGGUGUUAAACCGGAGGAAGUGGGGAUGACGUCAAGUCCUCAUGGCCUUUAUGACCAGGGCUACACACGUACUACAAUGGCCGAUACAAAGGGCAGCGACACUGCGAGGUGAAGCCAAUCCCGUAAAAUCGGUCUCAGUCCGGAUUGGAGUCUGCAACUCGACUCCAUGAAGUUGGAAUCGCUAGUAAUCGUGGAUCAGCAUGCCACGGUGAAUACGUUCCCGGGCCUU